UACGUAGGGAGCAAGCGUUGUCCGGAAUCAUUGGGCGUAAAGCGCGCGUAGGCGGCCCUGUAAGUCCGUUGUGAAAGUCAAAGGCUCAACCUUUGAAAGCCGAUGGAUACUGCAGGGCUAGAGUCCGGAAGAGGCGAGUGGAAUUCCUGGUGUAGCGGUGGAAUGCGCAGAUAUCAGGAGGAACACCAAUAGCGAAGGCAGCUCGCUGGGACGGUACUGACGCUAAGGCGCGAAAGCGUGGGGAGCGAACGAGG
Molecule: ribosomal RNA, 254 nt
Filed under: uncultured bacterium
Lineage: Bacteria
Description: partial 16S ribosomal RNA
Rfam family: Bacterial small subunit ribosomal RNA
Source: RNAcentral